CCUACGGGAGGCAGCAGUGGGGAAUUUUGGACAAUGGGCGAAAGCCUGAUCCAGCAAUGCCGCGUGAGUGAAGAAGGCCUUCGGGUUGUAAAGCUCUUUUGUCAGGGAAGAAACGGUGAGGGCUAAUAUCCCUUGCUAAUGACGGUACCUGAAGAAUAAGCACCGGCUAACUACGUGCCAGCAGCCGCGGUAAUACGUAGGGUGCAAGCGUUAAUCGGAAUUACUGGGCGUAAAGCGUGCGCAGGCGGUUUUGUAAGUCUGUCGUGAAAUCCCCGGGCUCAACCUGGGAAUUGCGAUGGAGACUGCAAGGCUAGAAUCUGGCAGAGGGGGGUAGAAUUCCACGUGUAGCAGUGAAAUGCGUAGAGAUGUGGAGGAACACCGAUGGCGAAGGCAGCCCCCUGGGUCAAGAUUGACGCUCAUGCACGAAAGCGUGGGGAGCAAACAGGAUUAGAUACCCUGGUAGUCCACGCCCUAAACGAUGUCUACUAGUUGUCGGGUUUUAAUUAACUUGGUAACGCAGCUAACGCGUGAAGUAGACCGCCUGGGGAUACGGUCGCAAGNUUAAAACUCAAAGGAUUGACGG
RNAcentral lists this ribosomal RNA (583 nucleotides) under uncultured bacterium. Its description in RNAcentral is "bacterial SSU rRNA". It matches the Rfam family "Bacterial small subunit ribosomal RNA", at positions 338 to 916 of the family's 1533-position model. The record is from RNAcentral.